RNAcentral lists this ribosomal RNA (651 nucleotides) under Triticum aestivum (bread wheat). Its description in RNAcentral is "partial small subunit ribosomal RNA". Lineage: Eukaryota; Viridiplantae; Streptophyta; Magnoliopsida; Poales; Poaceae. The record is from RNAcentral.
AUGUAUCAAGAUAGUAGGAGUGAUAGGCGGAAGGAUAACCUGGAGAGUUCACUCACUAUUCACAAUUUGACAGAAGAAAAAAAUAAACUGGAGGCCAACUAUGACAAAUUAGUUGAAGAUGUUCAUCAACUUUUGAAUGCCCAAGAGGAUAGGGUGCUGGAUUUUAGAUAUUUGCAGUCUAAGAUGGAGAGUGCAGAGGAGAGGAAAGCUGAGGUGACCAACUCAGUUGUCUCAGAUAUGAAGACUGGGAUGGAGAAGAAAGAUGCAGAGAUAUUCAAGCUGCAAGGGAAGUAUGAAGUCCUCGUGAACCUGACAAAAGCCCAAGGCACUGUCAUCAGGAACAUGAAGUUCAACCAUUUGAAAGAGAAGGAAGUGCAUAGUGCAGCCAUGAGGAACUUGCAGUUCCAGGUUGAAGAACUAACUAAGUCUAUGGAGAAGCUCAAGCAAGAGAAUCUGAAGCUGAUGCAGGUUGAUGAAGUCACUAAGUCUCAGGAAGAGCUCACCCAAGAGAAUCUGAAGCUGAAGGAUCACAUUGGUGAUCUGAAAAAGGGACAUGACAAGCUCACUAAAGACAGGGCUCAGCUCAAGCUUCAGAUUGCUGAUAUGUUGAAGGCAGAGGAGAAGAACAAGCAGAAGAUGAAGGGGAUCUAG